GUAGCUUAAAACACUAAAGCAUA
Molecule: transfer RNA, 23 nt
Filed under: Osteolaemus tetraspis (dwarf crocodile)
Lineage: Eukaryota; Metazoa; Chordata; Crocodylia; Crocodylidae
Description: partial tRNA-Phe
Source: RNAcentral